GGCAGGGGGUGCGCUGUCCUGUCAAGCUGAGGGGAGCGGCGGAGCCACCGGCCCCGCGGCGGGGCUUUGAGGGGACGCUGAGGCCCGAGGGAGCGCUGAGGCCCAGGGCCCGAGCCGAGAGCGGCCCGAGGCCUGUCAGGAGCCGGCGGGUCGGAGCGCAGGGAAGGAGCCGGCGCUCCCCGGGGGGUGAGGGGUGGCACCGGUCACGGCCCCAAAGGGAGCUCUGCCCCGGGACCCGGCGGACGGGAGCCGCCCAGCUCUGCUCCCCGGGGUGGGCUCUCCCCAGGCGCUGACAUGACAGCCCAGGCGAGUGGAUCCCCCAAGGCCAGGAUCCCCACCGUUUUCCCUGGAACACUGUUUCACAGCCCGGCCAUGGAACUCGGAGAUGGUGUCCAAAUUCUGUUGCUCUGAAAUGAAAAAUGUUAUGUUGAUCUUCUUCAAGUUUUUGUAUGCAUCACGAAAAUAUCAUCCCCAUUUUGGGAAAACCAACAGAUCGAUCCGUGACCCAAAAAAGGGCCCAGACUGCAGCAGUUCCACUGGAUGUCAUAACUUAGGAUUGCAAUGCACUGGCAGGGCUGUUUGGGGAAGCUUGCAUAACAUCUGUUUGCAACAUGCCUGAUUCAAACCAGCACUCCUCCUCUCGUCAACGCUGAUGACUUUUUAAAAGUAAAAUAAACUCCAUCGUUAUGCAAGCAAAUUGAUUUUCCCGGGUGCCUAUCCAGAUCUGCUUGAAGCAACAGAAAACCCACAACUUAAAAGCUAUUUAUUUUAUAUUUACUAAAUAUUUUUACCGUCCUUGUGUCCUUUCUUCUUCUUCUUUUUUUUUUUUUUUGGUGUUCUGAUCUCAUUCCUGUGAGCCAUACUCAAGUGAGUACUCUUUAUGACGCCAGAGGGACUACUCUUGUAGAGGGAUUGGUGUAGUUAAAAAUCCCCACUCACUGCUUCGAACAUUUUUAGUGCUGUAUUCUCAUUAUGUUAGCGUCGUAGGGAACGUGUAAAGACAUGCUUCAUUUUGGAUGUUUACUCCCCAGAUUGUUUUUCACAGAUGGUUUUAUUUUCAGGCUUCUUAGUUGUCUUGUUCCUCUUAGAAGGUGUGGCUGGAUAUCUUCACUCAAAGAUCUUAAUGGCUUUCUAGCUUCUAUGUAAGCGCCGUCGCCAUUUUUAAUACUGAACAAUAUAAAUAAAUGAAGCAUAAAUUACAAGGUUUGCUUGUUAGUUUUGUUUGUAGUUUUUGUUUGUAAUACUGAGACCAUGUUAACAUAGGAUUAAUAUUUUAUAUCACACAUACUUAGAGAUUUCAAUGUGGAUGAACAAUAAAAGAUGAAUUACUGUGGUAA
This is a long non-coding RNA of Calidris pugnax (ruff), 1337 nucleotides long. RefSeq lists it as uncharacterized. Lineage: Eukaryota; Metazoa; Chordata; Aves; Charadriiformes; Scolopacidae. The transcript has 2 exons. The record is from RefSeq and is a predicted model, not a curated record.